Molecule: ribosomal RNA, 1066 nt
Filed under: Cladosporium cladosporioides
Lineage: Eukaryota; Fungi; Ascomycota; Dothideomycetes; Cladosporiales; Cladosporiaceae
Description: SSU rRNA
Rfam family: Eukaryotic small subunit ribosomal RNA
Source: RNAcentral
CUGUCUAGUAUAGCACUAUACGGUGAAACUGCGAAUGGCUCAUUAAAUCAGUUAUCGUUUAUUUGAUAGUACCUUACUACAUGGAUAACCGUGGUAAUUCUAGAGCUAAUACAUGCUAAAAACCUCGACUUCGGAAGGGGUGUAUUUAUUAGAUAAAAAACCAAUGCCCUUCGGGGCUCCUUGGUGAAUCAUAAUAACUUAACGAAUCGCAUGGCCUUGCGCCGGCGAUGGUUCAUUCAAAUUUCUGCCCUAUCAACUUUCGAUGGUAGGAUAGUGGCCUACCAUGGUAUCAACGGGUAACGGGGAAUUAGGGUUCGACUCCGGAGAGGGAGCCUGAGAAACGGCUACCACAUCCAAGGAAGGCAGCAGGCGCGCAAAUUACCCAAUCCCGACACGGGGAGGUAGUGACAAUAAAUACUGAUACAGGGCUCUUUUGGGUCUUGUAAUUGGAAUGAGUACAAUUUAAAUCCCUUAACGAGGAACAAUUGGAGGGCAAGUCUGGUGCCAGCAGCCGCGGUAAUUCCAGCUCCAAUAGCGUAUAUUAAAGUUGUUGCAGUUAAAAAGCUCGUAGUUGAACCUUGGGCCUGGCUGGCCGGUCCGCCUCACCGCGUGUACUGGUCCGGCCGGGCCUUUCCUUCUGGGGAACCUCAUGCCCUUCACUGGGCGUGUUGGGGAACCAGGACUUUUACUUUGAAAAAAUUAGAGUGUUCAAAGCAGGCCUUUGCUCGAAUACAUUAGCAUGGAAUAAUAGAAUAGGACGUGUGGUUCUAUUUUGUUGGUUUCUAGGACCGCCGUAAUGAUUAAUAGGGAUAGUCGGGGGCAUCAGUAUUCAAUCGUCAGAGGUGAAAUUCUUGGAUUGAUUGAAGACUAACUACUGCGAAAGCAUUUGCCAAGGAUGUUUUCAUUAAUCAGUGAACGAAAGUUAGGGGAUCGAAGACGAUCAGAUACCGUCGUAGUCUUAACCAUAAACUAUGCCGACUAGGGAUCGGACGGUGUUAGUAUUUUGACCCGUUCGGCACCUUACGAGAAAUCAGGUUUUGGGUCUGGGGGAGAUGGCCAGAGUCCU